Ciona intestinalis (vase tunicate) is the source of this 73-nucleotide non-coding RNA. The record is from Rfam. NCBI's taxonomy places the organism in Eukaryota, Metazoa, Chordata, Ascidiacea, Phlebobranchia, Cionidae.
GGCGCCGUGGCGUAGUGGUUAGCGCGCCUGACUCUAACCCAGAGGUAAAUGGGUUCAAGGCUCGUCGCUGCUA